CAGGGGUCUCUCGUGUGACUGCCAUCUGCCCGCGCAACAUGUGUAGCCUCGUCCUCGCCUAGUCCUGGUGGCCGCAACCUUGGGGAACAGACAGGGCAGGUCUGGACCAAGGAAGAGGAGGGAGAGACGGAGCCAGGAACAGGCAAGAGGUCCCCA
Molecule: long non-coding RNA, 156 nt
Filed under: Ictidomys tridecemlineatus (thirteen-lined ground squirrel)
Lineage: Eukaryota; Metazoa; Chordata; Mammalia; Rodentia; Sciuridae
Description: lncRNA (ENSSTOG00000034123.1)
Source: RNAcentral